UCGCGCCCCCAAAUCAGCCAGCCUUCCACCCUCGAUCCCAUCCGCCGCCGACCACCCUUCGCCGCUCCCGUCGACCUCAGCGACAGCCGAUAACCCUCCGCCGUCCCCGACUCUAGCCUCACCCUUCCCCGCCCCCGACCACCCUCCACCGUUCCCAAACCCCUACCGCUCCCGGCUUCCUUCCCGACCACCGUGGCGGGCAAGGGUUUGACGCCGCCGGCCCUCCUGGCCGUCCUCCGGUUGGUCGCUAGAGGAAAUGGCUUCCACCCUCCUUCCAAAGCUUGUGACCACGGAUCAGGCUCCUCCCACCGUUCCUUCCCCUCUCCUUCUUGGAGCCGCGUGUGACCACGGAUCUGGCUCUCCACCAGCGGCAGCUGGGAUGGCGCGGAUCCACCUCUUCUCCACAAGAGCCGGCCGAGACGACGUGGAUUUGCAUCUCCUCCUCCCUCCCUGCCAUGGCCGCCUUUAUCUGCUGCGCCCCCCGCCUCGCAGCUCUGCUUCUGGACGGAGAUCUGGAGGAGUACCCGCCGCUCACCGUGGCUUCAAUCCUUCUUCCCAGCUGGCCCCAGAGGCACAACGUUAAGGGUGCAAGCUCGACUGUUUCAACAGUCUGCCUUGGCGUGAUGGCUCCCCGUCAACAACCAGGUUGACCAUGGCCUAUGCUAGCUUCAGUUCCUUCCCCUGUCCCAGUCCGCUGGAAGUGUCUCUGCUGCCUCCCCAAGACGCUGGAAGGUCACCCGCAUCGAUGCUCUUUCCGCCACUUCCACAAGCCACCAGACCGAAAAAGAAUGGAAAAGGAAGAGAUAAGACAAUGCUGAAGCACAAGAGCAAGAGAGGCUAGCUAUACUUAAAGCAAGGAACAGCGAGGAUUCUGAACGAUUUGGGUCCUUUAAAUUUUCAAAUCUAAAUGAAGAUUUUGGAGGCCGAGCCAGUCAGGGACAAAAUAAAAGGAAGAAGGUGAUCUGUUUGGUUACUGCAUCUACUGUACAAUUGCAUCUAUCGUAAAACUGCAUCUUGUUACAUGCUUUGUGCAGCCCACUUUGUCAUGCACAUUAAUUCAUGCUUUGCACAGUUCACUUUGUCAUGCAUAUUAAUUCAUGCUUUUUGCAGUUCACUUUGUCAUGCACAUAUUAGGUGCAUGUUGAUGUGAAGUUCUCACAUCAUCUUGUUUGCUAAUUUGUAGAGCAAUGUAGAAUAUCCUACUGUUAAAGUAACUCGAGUUCUUAGGUCCUAUAUAACUAGAGAUACUCCAUGAGCAGCAUAGAUGAGAUACUUUUAUUCUUGUCAGCCCGCCUGAAUGCACGAGAGAGCCUAGCUGUUGCUCAAAGACUGAAUGCAAAACCCACUGCAGCCCAGUCUAUGAGAAAAGCAGACCAGCAAGCCUGAGAUGAUGUGUUUCCAAAAUAAUUGAGUGUUGACUAAUGCCAUAGUACUACCAUGGUUCAAAUGUUGAAUUUUUUUCCUGUGUUUUUCUUUAAGCUGGCCCGCCCAGCUAUUUUGUUGUAGCUCGGCCACUGAUCCAAAGUAAAACAAUAUUCUGCACUAGAAACAGUACAAGAUAUCUCUGGGUCAACUUAUGUAAUAAAGUAAUCUUUGCAUGCAGAUUGUUAAUAUCAAUGAGAAACUUUAUCUCAAGUUAUUAUAUGAUCUUAGUUACUGUAGUUUUCAGUAUGGUUGCUCUUGCCAGUCGACUUUAGCUUAGCCUCCAUUUCUGAAUGUCUUGAAUUGAUUUCUCUUCCUGUGUUUGUCGCUCUUCCUAUUUCCAUUCCCGGUGCCAUAGUAAUAUAUAAUUGUUUCUGAUGAAUAUAAGACAUUCAGUGUGCUUAAGGACAUGGGCAAAACCAAGUAUAAUUUUAAGAGGAGCAUUUACGAGAUCGAGUAGCUGCAUGAUUUCUCAAUGCAAAGCUCCUAGCUGUGUUUGUGCACUUAUUCUUCCAAUAUAUUCUUAGGAUAUGCCUAACUACAGUUUUGUCACAUGGAUUCCUCCUUAUUUUGUUAUCAACUCACUUGAACUUAAUUAGUUUAUCUGUUAAUGUUACUGACUUGAAUUGUUUCUGAAUGUAUUAGGUACCAAUUUGUCAAUCUUUUACUAAAUAUAAAUAAAAUACAAAAAUGUUGCAACAAAAUGGGUCUGAUUCCAGAACUAAGCAUAUUUUUUAUACCCCAUUCUCAACUAUAUGCUCUAGAUUAUUAUGUUGUAGUUUGAAAUCCAAAUAUAAAGAUAAUUACAAUUUUUAUCUAAUUCACAACCUAUAUACAGGAACCGGCAGCAUUUUAGUCCAUUUUAAUCUGUAUCCAAUUUAGUAAACAAAAUUAGGCGAAAUGGAAAUACAGAGGAAAAAUGAAAUAGCCCACCUAAAGAUUUCCCCAUAACCAUUUUGAUUUGUACAAGUGGUAAUUUAACCUUCCAAUAUGCAGAUAUUGUGACUUCACUUAGGAUAGCGGAUCCCAGGAUCUUUAAGCAAGCCCUUGAUAGACAUGCAGACCACUAAGUUCACAUAUUUGUGUUCUGAAAAAGUUUCGGCCCUCUGCUGUCACGGAUUGCUUCUUACUUUAUUGUACAGGGACCCUGAUUGCUUUGCGUGGACACUGAUUGCUUAUUUCUCUUGGAGGGUUACUAAAAUGCGGUGUCUACCUUGUGUUGGAAAAAGUUGAACUCCAGGUCUACCGGAGAUUAGUUAAGAAAAUGCAUAUCAUCCAGAGGGAGAAGGAACCAUCGUCUAAGGCGCAUCAAAUCAAGCUAGAGGUCUCUGCAUCCAUUUUAGUCGAGUAGCAGUCUUGCGAAAGGUGACCGUGGCAAACAUUUUAUCCUGCUACAAGCACAUUAUUUGGAUGAAAUGGUGUUUAUUGUUGGUGGCUUAUUUGUAUGCCUAACAAGUUGGGAGCUUUUCUUCAGGGUUUCCCAAAGAUACACUACUUGAUGGAGGUUUGGAUGAUCUACAAGCUGCUGAAGGUUUGCAAGAUCUACUAUUAAGUUGGUGGAGUGAUAAUGUAAUGCGCCUUGUUUGUUGAACCUGGAGACAUUGGCAAGUUGUGCUCUUUUUGGUGGUUGGUUUGGCACAUAGGCCACUAUAUGGCCAUUUUGGUUGUGGGACACAUGUAGAAACAUAUAUACUUCUCCCAUUGUGGCACUACUUCAUUUUGGUUGUGUGGCACAUCUAUCUAGAAACAUGUAUGUACUCCUUUUGUG
This is an RNA transcript of Triticum aestivum (bread wheat), 3190 nucleotides long. RefSeq lists it as uncharacterized. The transcript has 5 exons. The record is from RefSeq and is a predicted model, not a curated record. NCBI's taxonomy places the organism in Eukaryota, Viridiplantae, Streptophyta, Magnoliopsida, Poales, Poaceae.